Long non-coding RNA from Magallana angulata, 1248 nucleotides. RefSeq lists it as uncharacterized. The record is from RefSeq and is a predicted model, not a curated record. The transcript is spliced from 5 exons. NCBI's taxonomy places the organism in Eukaryota, Metazoa, Mollusca, Bivalvia, Ostreida, Ostreidae.
AUGAAACCUAAGAGACCGUGAGGUCGGCACUGAUGAUACUGAGGAAUCCAUGAAGCCACUUAAAUUUUCCUCUGGGCUCAAGGUUUGUCCAUUAAGUAGCGCAUGGUGACACAACAAAUUCUGAUGCGACUUUUUCAGUCUGACACAAACUCAUACCAACCUAAGAAUAUCACGACAUAUUAGAUUACGGGCCCUUUUAAUGCUCUAACGAACUCUGUUAUUUACUUAACCUGAACUUGUGAUAUUUUAUACGCAGAAAUUUGUAGAAACGCAUUGGAAUAGAAAAUGACAGACAGGGGGUGCAUACGUACCCGGAUUUGAUUUCCAAUUAACCCGGCUAAACCGACUGAAAUCUAGUCACCGCUCUGCGCAUGGGCAUUUACCGGAACCAGUCCGUUCUGGAGGUAGACGUGAAUGAUGUUAUCUGGUUCUUGUUGAGUUUCUCCAACACGUUUACAAAUCACCGGUCUGCGCAUUGGCAUUUACCGGAACAAGUCCGUGCUGGAGGUAGACUUGAAUGAUGUUAUCCGGUCCAUGUCGAGUUUCUCCAACACGUUUACAAAUCACCGCCCUGCGCAUGGGCAUUUACCGGAACCAGUCCGUGCUGGAGGUAGAAGUGAAUGAUGUUAUCCGGUUCUUGUAGAGUUUCUGCAACACGUUUACAAAUGGCGAUCGGAAGUGACGGCGGACGCUGGGAUAUGAAAAGAACACUGCGGAUAUAGACUCUCUGUAUUUUUAUGAAAAUAUAUUUAUAUUUUCUGUUGGAAACGGAAAACCUUAAAGCAUCUACAUGUUUUUUCAUCUUUUAAAUAAAAAUAUAGUUUUUCAAAGAUAUACGUGAUUAUUUUAUAAAUGCUGUGUUUUGUACAAAAAUACAAUAAAAUUAAACUGUGAAAAAGACCCAUAAAACUAUACAAUUACAAACUUCAUAAAAAUAAAGAUUGUUAUUGUAUAUAUUUAUUUCUUUUGAUUAUUUAAUAUGUUAAGAAGUGCAUUUUAAAUGUAUUUUGACAGUACUAUAUGCAUAAAUACAGAGGAAUUAUUCAAGAUUCGAGAUUCGAAACACGGCAUUAGAAAUACAUAUAUGUAGGGGAUUCGAGGUUCAAGAUUCAGUAUCUAAGUUACUAAAUAAAGAUCAUUUGUACACGCCCUUCCAUACAAAUAAAUCCUAUUUUAACUCCAGCUAAAUGAUUUUUUAAGGAAUCAUUCAUUGAGUAUUGCUUGGUCACAAUUGUGGUCGGGGCGUUG